This 247-nucleotide ribosomal RNA is filed under the name uncultured bacterium. Its description in RNAcentral is "partial 16S ribosomal RNA". It matches the Rfam family "Bacterial small subunit ribosomal RNA", at positions 1256 to 1500 of the family's 1533-position model. The record is from RNAcentral.
UGCGAAGGCAAGCGGAUCUCUUAAAGCCGUUCUCAGCUCGGACUGUAGGCUGCAACUCGCCUACACGAAGCUGGAAUCGCUAGUAAUCGCGGAUCAGCACGCCGCGGUGAAUACGUUCCCGGGCCUUGUACACACCGCCCGUCACACCAUGAGAGUCUGUAACACCCAAAGCCGGUGGGAUAACCUUUAUAGGAGUCAGCCGUCUAAGGUAGGACAGAUGAUUAGGGUGAAGUCGUAACAAGGUACC